GUGAUAUUUGACUAGGGGAGGGGGAUAUUUGACUAGGGGAGGGGUGAUAUUUGACUAGGGGAGGGGGGAUAUUUGACUAGGGGAGGGGUGAUAUUUCACUAGGGGGGAUAUUUGACUAGGGGAGGGGGGAUAUUUGACUAGGGGAGGGGGGAUAUUUGACUAGGGGAGGGGUGAUAUUUCACUAGGGGAGGGGGGAUAUUUCACUAGGGGAGGGGGGAUAUUUGACUAGGGGAGGGGGGAUAUUUGACUAGGGGAGGGGUGAUAUUUGACUAGUGCAGGUUGAUAUUUGACAUGGGGAGGGGGAUAUUUCACUAGGGGAGGGGUGAUAUUUGACUAGGGGAGGGGGUAUAUUUGACUAGGAGAGGGGUGAUAUUUCACUAGGGGAGGGGGGAUAUUUGACUAAGGGAGGGGUGAUAUUUGACUAGUGCAGGUUGAUAUUUGACUAGGGGAGGGGGGAUAUUUCACUAGGGAGGGG
This 475-nucleotide long non-coding RNA is filed under the name Salmo salar (Atlantic salmon). RNAcentral's name for it is "lncRNA (ENSSSAG00000114810.1)". Lineage: Eukaryota; Metazoa; Chordata; Actinopteri; Salmoniformes; Salmonidae. The record is from RNAcentral.